RNAcentral lists this ribosomal RNA (711 nucleotides) under Euseius nicholsi. RNAcentral describes it as "12S ribosomal RNA". Lineage: Eukaryota; Metazoa; Arthropoda; Arachnida; Mesostigmata; Phytoseiidae. The record is from RNAcentral.
AAAUAACUAUUAAUGGGAUUUUAUUUACUGUUAAUUGCAUUUUUAUGCUAGUGUAAAUUUAUUUUUAGCAGAAAAGAAUUUUAUAAAUUUUAAUAAUAAUUUUGUGUAAAACAUUUACAUUUGCUAAUUAAUGUGCCAGCAGUAGCGGUUAAACAUUUUAUGUUGUAAAUAAUUGGCAUUAAAGAAUAAUAAUAAUUUAUUAUAUUAAAUUUAUUAAAAUAGGGGUGAAAUCUAAUUUAGUGAAUUAAAUAUUUAAUUGAUUUCUUUGAGAUUUUUAACAACUAGGAUUAGAUACCCUAUUAGAAAUAAUUAAAAUUUAGUAGUAAGUGAAAUUCAUGAAACUUAAAUUAAUUGGCGGCUAUUUAAAUUUUUUAGAGGAAUUUAUUCUGUAAAGGAUCCAACACCAAAAUCUUACUUUUGUUAGUUUUAAAACAGUUUGUAUAUCUCUAUAUAAAAAUAUAAUAUUAUAUUUUUUUAAUUUUAUUGACUAACUAAUAUUUUAGGUAAAGGUGCAGCUUAUACAAAAGAUUGAAAUAAAUUAUAUUAAUUAUUGUUAUUUUAACAAUAUAUCUAUGUAGAUAGGUGUUUAGUAAAAUUUAAAAGUAAAAUUAAUAGAUUAAGUUAAUUUGAAUAUUAAUUUAAUUGUGUACAUAUUGCCCGUCACUCUCUUAUUAGAGAUAAGUCGUAACAAAGUAAAAUUAUCGGAAGAUA